GGGGGGGGGAGAAGGGGGAGAACCCCAGGGAGGCCCGACCGGUAAGAAGCAAACAACAAAGAGUGUCACCUUAUUGCAACCAUUUAUCCUACCCGACUCAUAGUUGCCCAUUCUCAAGGGGAGGUGAGUCUGGAAGAGGCUGUCUCUAACUCAUCUUUGUGUUGCCCUGAGUGGUACUAUGUCAGGUAUGUAUGCUUGGUCCUGCCCACAGUCCCAAUCACUAACUGUACUAUUGAUCCAAGGGUCCCAAAUCUUUUCAAAUUUCUUUGUAGUCCCUCUGACCUGAGCUGUCAGUUUGUCC
This is a non-coding RNA of Pelobates cultripes (western spadefoot toad), 301 nucleotides long. Lineage: Eukaryota; Metazoa; Chordata; Amphibia; Anura; Pelobatidae. The record is from the annotation of a GenBank genome assembly.